RNAcentral lists this unclassified non-coding RNA (257 nucleotides) under Hevea brasiliensis (rubber tree). The record is from RNAcentral. Lineage: Eukaryota; Viridiplantae; Streptophyta; Magnoliopsida; Malpighiales; Euphorbiaceae.
GACAGAAACAGUGUUUCCAAAUCUCUCUGAGCCUGUAAAGCGUAACUACAGACUAUUUGCUGUUGACCUUUUGGGAUUUGGAAGAAGCCCUAAGCCAAAGGAUUGUUUUUACACUCUAACAGAUCACUUGGAGAUGAUUGAAAAAUCUGUGAUUAAACCAUUUGAGUUGAAGUCUUUCCAUCUUGUCGCGCAUUCCAUGGGCUGCACUAUUUCAUUAGCUCUUGCUGCAAUACUCAAAUUGUGUGAAAUCAAUCGUC